AGAUUGAACGCUGGCGGCAGGCCUAACACAUGCAAGUCGAGCGGUAGAGAGGUGCUUGCACCUCUUGAGAGCGGCGGACGGGUGAGUAAUGCCUAGGAAUCUGCCUAGUGGUGGGGGAUAACGUUCGGAAACGGACGCUAAUACCGCAUACGUCCUACGGGAGAAAGCGGGGACCUUCGGGCCUCGCGCCAUUAGAUGAGCCUAGGUCGGAUUAGCUAGUUGGUGAGGUAAUGGCUCACCAAGGCGACGAUCCGUAACUGGUCUGAGAGGAUGAUCAGUCACACUGGAACUGAGACACGGUCCAGACUCCGUAACGGGCGGCAGCCAGGUGGGGGAAAUAGUAGGUAACAAGUAGGGACGAAA
Molecule: ribosomal RNA, 363 nt
Filed under: uncultured soil bacterium
Lineage: Bacteria
Description: bacterial SSU rRNA
Rfam family: Bacterial small subunit ribosomal RNA
Source: RNAcentral